CUCUCUGGUGCAUUCUUGCAGGAGGAACACCCUCGGUGCAUACACUUGAUCAGGAGUGCUGAGGGGGUAUGGACAGGGCAUGGGUGAUGACAUAAAACUCUUCCGUGUUAGGGUCCGCAAGACUCUUUGCUUAAGGAAAACAACAACAAAACAAUUUUGUCAUUGGAAACUGUAAGGCUCUGCCAUGCAGAUUUGCCAGAACAUAUUAUGAGCUUUGUCUUGACAAUAUGGGAUAUUCCAUGUGUAACUUUGCCACAGCUUGGUUUUGCCUGGGUUUGGCAUGGUAGAGAGGUCAGUGCAUCCUUGAUGUGAGUGGGUAGAUGGAGAGAUGAAUAGAGUAUGUGGAUGUCCAGAGAGGAGUUAUCCCUAGUGUGGGUCAUAUUGAAGGCUCUGGGGCCACAUCUAAGUCCUCCAGACUGACUCUGCCUUCCAGUCACACAUUUCUACAGAUUCCUCCAUCCUUCCUUGCUCCUAGCCAGGACAGUGGGCCCAGCAUUGAUGCUUUCCUGCUAUGCCCCUGUUAGAAUAUCCCAUUCUUUUUUCCUUUCAAGGCCCAUUCCUAUAGCUCUGACUUUUGUUAUCAUCUGAGAGGAAGGUGAGCUUGUAGCCCACCUUUGACAUUGAAGGAUUCAUUUGCAUAAAGUUAAAAUCUAAGGGGGUCUCAGGGCUCUCUACCAGGCAGAUCUCUACGUCUCUGGGAUAGUGGCUGUUCCUCUCCUGCCUGAAGCACUUGGAACGGCUCAUACAUAAAGGUGGUGUAAUGCACCCAGAGCAAUAAUUUCACGCUUAACAACCCACAUGCCAAUGGGGCUGCCACUCCCUGCCACCACAAACUCCGAAGGGUGCCAUCUUUAUAAUCUGUAGGCUGGGGGAACGAGCCCUUUAAAACUCAAAGUGGUUUGGGUCUUCUAAUGGCCCUGGCUUUCCUUUUGUAAAAACCCAUGCGUCUGUGGGGCUCUUGUGCCACUACUCACAAGGUGACAGCGGUGAUCAGAAAUGUAAUUUUCAAUAUUUAUGAUUGAAAAUGUAAUUUAGAAAUGAAGGAAAGGGCACUUGUUCCUCCUUAGCUUGAAGUGAAAUCAUUGUUUUGAGACGUGUUCUUUAUACAGUUAAUCUGGCCAGUGUAAUUUACCACACCAUGGCUGAAUUGUAAGUCUGGCGCUCUAUUCAUCAAGUGAGAGUUAUGGGUGCAAAAUGCGUAGGAAUUAAUAGGUGUUGUGUGGUUCUAUGGCUAUUUGAUUUCAGAAAUUUGGAAAAGGCAGGAGUUCAGUGAACUAAAUUGGUGCCAUGUGUCACCUCCAGGGGACAGAUUCCAUAAAAGGGUCAACAGGUGAGUUUGGCCGUAUGUAUGUGAAGGGUCUUGGUUCAGGUCUUGAGGUCCUUGUCCCACUUGGACAGUGAGGCAUAGCUGUGACUAGCCCAUUUGGAUGAAUGUAGCAAGGGAUGUCAACAGAGGAGGCUAUCUCUGGCUUGCCAGGUCUAUAGUUCACACUGUCCUGCGUGUGUAUGUGUAGGGAGGUGUGUGUGUGCGCGCGCGCACGCGUGCAUGCAUGUGAACAUUUAACUUUUCACUUUGAAGUAAUUUAAGACUCACAAAAAGUUGCAAGCAUAGCAUCAAAACCACCCAUGUGUUUCUUCCUCAGCCACCCCCCCACCCCCGUGAUAACACUACCAUGACCGACCAUCUCUGCAUACCAUUGAAACCAGAAAACUGACACUGGGAUAAUACUAUUGACUAAACUACAGACCUUAUUUGAGUGACACAUAUAUGUUCUGAAGAUUGAACUGACCGCCAACAUGUCACAUCAGGGCGAUGUCAUGCAGAAGUAAGAUUAGUUCAUACCGAGCCUGUGUUCGGCAGGGAGACAGUGGAGAGCUGAGUGACAGCAGCCUCCGAGGAGCAGCACAUGCUCCCUAAUUGCCUGUGGUCCUCACCACUCCCUAAUGACACACCUUCCUUGGCUUGGUCAUUUGAUCUGCCUGCUGUGAUUCCUGAAUGGCUACAGGUCCCCCAGUGGUUGGUGGGAACUGAUUAGCAGUUCAGAAGGACUCUGCCCUAAUGAGUGUACACCCCAGGGACCUGCUGCCCAGCAGGAAGUCUUUUGAAGGCUUCUUGUGCACAACACACAGUUGCAGUGGGGAGUGGGACCACUCACUGCCACUGGAGAGGAGUUCAAAAGACGCGGCAUGUGCUCCUGGCCAAACCUCAGAGGCAUGGACAUUUUCCUAAACCCCCAGGCAUUGUCCAAAGCACACACUUUAGACUUUAGCAGUAUCCCUCCUGACUCCCAGUAGCCUCCUGACCAAACUGCAUGUCAUUUUGUAGUCCUGAGUGACCCUUUGGCUAAACAAUAGAUUUGGAGGCAGAUACACCCUCUUGUGUCUCUCCCGCGGUGGCAUUUAAUCCAUAAGCAAGAUAGGCAUUUGGAUCUUGGUUCUAAGAACAGUCUUCUGUUUUUCCAAGGACAGGGAAGGUGGUGGAUUUGAUGGAGGUGGCAGUUGAACUGAUGCCCAGGAGACGCUGUCCCUGGAGGGGUGUCAGUACAGCAGAGAGCUUUGUAAACAUGGAGCCCUCUGUGGGGUCUGUUGUCUCUUCCCCAAAUUCAAUCCUGCAAACACUUGCUUUUGCUACCUAUGUGGCAGGCUCAGAGCUAGAGAUGCUGGGGGCAAUGCAGAUUUGGGAUAAGUCACAGCCCUUGUUCUUCAGGAGUUCUCAGCAUUCUAGAAAAAAAAAAAAAUCUAUAGAUUAAACUAGGCUAAAGCAGGGUGCUAUUUGACCAGAGCAGACUGUCUAGAGCAUUCUGCCAGGGCAUCAGGGGCCAGGGCUCAGUUUUUUUUUCCCCAGAUAGCACAUUCGAAUGCACUCAGCAUAACGGCUACAAAGAGCAAAAACAAAAGCAGCAAGUGUUAUUUUAGAAGGCUGUGGGGGGGGGGGAAGUGGGUGGCCAGGGAUGUGGAGAAAGGAAACAAACUGAACAUCUGGAGAGAAAGACAAAACAGAAUCUCCUUGUGAGUGCCCCUUUUCUCUGCAUUGCUGGGCUCCUCCCUGGCCUCACAGUGUUAGAGGAUUAGUUCUGGAUUCUCUUAGUAAUUAAUAGCAUUUAAGUUCCAGGGUAGUCAGUUUUGAUUAAGCAAACAUUAGAUUAAUCCAAUCUGCAAACGCUUACUCUCUAAGCGCUAUUGGGGGUCGGGGGGGUGGGGUGGGGGAAGAGGCAGCUGGAUGGACAGAAGGAUGCAGCCCCAUUGGAUUGCCGGCCACCUCCGAGUAGUUACGGCUGGAUCAAUACAGCUCCUAGAGCUAUAAUAAAAUGGCUUCGACAUGCUCAUCUGUGGCUGAGAACACAGUAUACACAUUGAUUUCCUGGCCUGAUAUAACCCAUUUACCUAUUCAGCUACUCCGUUCAGGAAGGUGGAGGGGUCCCAAGGCCCAGGGGAGCAAUGAUGCCUGUAAGUAGGUUAGCAGAUGCUUGGGGAUGUCUUAAUCGCUGCGCGGUUCCCUCUUCAGGAAGACACGUUUCUUUGCAAAGAAAAGGCCUCCUUAGACUCUUAUCGGCUUCAUCUGGGGAAACACUGGAAGUUGGGGGUGUCACCUUUCCCGCUCAUCAGGAUUUGCCCUUCUCAUUACUUAAAACUUCGAUGUUGUGCGACUGUCUUAGCUUCUUGGAGGGCAAGAGGGGGUCUGACUUAAAAACCAGCUCCUUCCAGGCGUACCUUUGACUCUGAUUCAGGUGCGUUUGGAGGCGCCCACAGAGAAUGCCCCGGGAUUCUUUGAUGGAAGAUCUCUUUCCCUAUACUAGUUUUUACUUUCCAAUAUAAUUUGAAAAGAAACCGAGGCUGUUUGAGAGAAAUUAAUGAGACAGCGUGGUGUAUCCCAUUUAGGACUCCAUGCGGUUGGUUUUGUGACAUGACAAGACUGACGCUUUAGAACCAGUCGAUGAAGUCCUCCUGAAAUAGUCCUUGUCUCCCUGUACUUCUUAAAAUGAAGCUAUUAUCUCCAGAAGCAAUUUUAGACUCUGUCCUCUGUGUUCCGCCUUUAGGAACAGGCUUGCUUUUUCCUGGUAGGUUUUCAUUCUUGGAAGGUAUCAAGUAGGUUUUGGAAUGGCCAGAAAUCAUCCCAAGUCCCACUCACACUGAUGGUCACUUUGGGUGAGAAAUAGUUUCCCAGCGAAGUGACGUGGGAGGCUGUGGGCAGAAGCACUUUUCCUUUGUCCUUCCCAGAAAUGGAAAAGUGUUCUAGGAUUUUGACAUGGAAAAAAUGGCUGAUGUUGAGCCCUGAGGGUGGAGGAAGAGACUUAACUCUUGAGCUAAGACUUAGUCAUUGGGAUCUCCAUUUAGAAUUAAAAUAUAUAUAUAUUUAUUUAUUUUUAUGUGGUGCUGAGGAUUGAACCCAGGGCCUCACAUGUGCUAGGCGGGUGCUCGGCUGCUGAACCACAACCCCAGCUGGGUUUGAUCCUCAGAACUACAUAAAAUAAGGGCUGGGGAUAUAGCUCAGUUUGUUGGGUGCUUGUCUUGCAUGCACAAGGCCCUGGGUUCAAUCCCUAGCACUACAGUAAAUAAAUGAAUAAAUAAGCACAUUAAAAACUUAUUUAUUUAUUCUAAUUUGUUAUACAUUAUAGAAUGCAUUUCAAUCUAUAGUAUACAUAUAGAGCACAAUUUUUCAUUUCUUUGGUUGUACACAAAGUUGAGUCACACCAUUCGUGACUUCCUAUGUGUACUUACCAAGUGAUGCAGCCACAUCAAUGUCUAUAGCAGCACAGUUCACAAUAGCUGAAUUGCAGAACUGACCUAGAUGCCCUUCAGUAGGUGAAUGGACAAAGAAACUGUGGUAUAUACACACAAUGGAAUAUUACUCAGCGUUAAAAGAGAAUAAAAUCAUGGCAUUUGCAGGUAAGUGGAUGGAGUUGAAGAAUAUCAUGCUAAGUGAAGUAAGCCAAUCCCAAAAAGCCAAAGGACAAAUGUUU
Molecule: long non-coding RNA, 4961 nt
Filed under: Marmota monax (woodchuck)
Lineage: Eukaryota; Metazoa; Chordata; Mammalia; Rodentia; Sciuridae
Source: RNAcentral